UUACUGAUAGGUUAUUUAAACUGGCAAAUUGUGGUUUUGUUGAUUACUCCUAUAUGUUUGUAUCAGUAAA
RNAcentral lists this transfer RNA (70 nucleotides) under Sparganum proliferum. Its description in RNAcentral is "trnH(gtg)". Lineage: Eukaryota; Metazoa; Platyhelminthes; Cestoda; Diphyllobothriidea; Diphyllobothriidae. The record is from RNAcentral.